Varanus komodoensis (Komodo dragon) is the source of this 310-nucleotide long non-coding RNA. RefSeq lists it as uncharacterized. NCBI's taxonomy places the organism in Eukaryota, Metazoa, Chordata, Lepidosauria, Squamata, Varanidae. The transcript has 2 exons. The record is from RefSeq and is a predicted model, not a curated record.
UGCAUUGCGCAGAAAUGAUGAGCUGUGCAGAAAAAGCUAUUCAAGGAAUGUUUUUUAAAAUUCGCCCUCUUUUCCAUGGUCUUUUAGCCCACUAUUAGGGUUAGGAGUAUGCACCAGGGUAGGGUUAGGGUUAGACAAAUGAGGUGUUCUGGCAUGAUUUUGAUGGUUGGAAUGUGUUUGCAAUGGGCAGAAAUGAUGAGCUGUGCAGAAAAAGCUAUUCAAGGAAUGUUUUUUAACAAUCGCCCUCUUUUCCAUGGUCUUUUAGCCCACUAUUAGGGUUAGGAGCGUGCACCAGGGUAGGGUUAGGAUU